RNAcentral lists this small RNA (368 nucleotides) under Oryza sativa Japonica Group (Japanese rice). RNAcentral describes it as "Os03g0707250". Lineage: Eukaryota; Viridiplantae; Streptophyta; Magnoliopsida; Poales; Poaceae. The record is from RNAcentral.
GUUGUAGUCCAACGCCAAGGCAAAAAAGGCAUCAUCUGAAGAAGACAAAUAGAGAGAGGAAGACGCUAAAGUUGAUGCAGAAAGCUUCCUACUCCCAUACGUGCAUUUGCCUUUUGGGGCAUCGUCUGUAAUAUAGGAAGAUGCCUCAUACAUAUUAAAAAUGAGGCAUCACUGACUGGGUUUGGGGUUUGGGGACAAGGAGAUCAAGGUAGAUUAGCGGCACGCUUGUAAAUUAUGGGGGGUAAACACUGUAGUGUUGGUAGACAAAUAGAUAUGCAUGUAUACACAAUUAGCAGAUUAUUGUGUACAGACAAUCAUACCUUUGAUGGGACAUCUUACUCCCAUGAAAUCAUAGACAUGUUGCUAUG